UAAAAAUGAAUUGUCUCCGCGGU
This 23-nucleotide non-coding RNA is filed under the name Arabidopsis thaliana (thale cress). The record is from RNAcentral. Lineage: Eukaryota; Viridiplantae; Streptophyta; Magnoliopsida; Brassicales; Brassicaceae.